AAUCAACGCUGGCGGCGUGCCUAACACAUGCAAGUCGAACGAGAAAGGUCCCUUCGGGGACUGAGUAAAGUGGCGAACGGGUGAGUAACGCGUGGGUGAUCUGCCCUUUGGUGGGGGAUAACUCGGGGAAACCCGGGCUAAUACCGCAUAAGCCUCCGUAUUCGUUUAUGGAGGGAAAAGUGAUUUGCCGAAGGAGGAGCCUGCGUUCGAUUAGCUAGUUGGUGAGGUAAGAGCUCACCAAGGCAGCGAUCGAUAGCCGGUCUGAGAGGACGGACGGCCACACUGGGACUGAGACACGGCCCAGACUCCUACGGGAGGCAGCAGUGGGGAAUUUUGGGCAAUGGGGGAAACCCUGACCCAGCAACGCCGCGUGGAGGAUGAAGGUUUUCGGAUCGUAAACUCCUGUCCAGAGGGACGAAUAAAGUGACGGUACCUCUGGAGGAAGCCCCGGCUAACUCCGUG
This 462-nucleotide ribosomal RNA is filed under the name uncultured bacterium. Its description in RNAcentral is "bacterial SSU rRNA". It matches the Rfam family "Bacterial small subunit ribosomal RNA", at positions 32 to 507 of the family's 1533-position model. The record is from RNAcentral.